UAAGAAAGGGUUAACGAGGAGGAUGCUGUGUCUAAGAACUUAUUUUAAUCUACCUUAAAGGUGAAGAGGCCUUUAUAAAAAAAAAGGACAACAAGACCCUAUGAAGCUUUAUCUUAUGAGGGAUUUGAAAGAUCCGUGUACGAUUUUGAUGGGGGAACAGUAAAAAUAAGUCUUUUACCGUUAUUUUUAUCUUACUAGUGUUUCCUAAUUGUAUAAGUGUGAAUGGCCACUCUAGGGAGAACAGCGCAAUUUCUCCCGAAAAAUGGUAUUGGAGGGGAAAAUUGCGACCUCCACGUUGGC
This 300-nucleotide ribosomal RNA is filed under the name Mytilus coruscus. Its description in RNAcentral is "partial 16S ribosomal RNA". It matches the Rfam family "Bacterial large subunit ribosomal RNA", at positions 1991 to 2536 of the family's 2925-position model. Lineage: Eukaryota; Metazoa; Mollusca; Bivalvia; Mytilida; Mytilidae. The record is from RNAcentral.